GGGGGCGUUAAGAGGAACUGGGCGGGGGGGGACGGACCCCAAAAUGUGGGGCACAGCCCUAUGGGGCGGGGGGGGCGUCCUAUGGGGUGAAGAAUCUGACAGGUAACGAGUGCUGCAAGGCUAAUGGAGGGAUCUAUGGGGCUGGGCUGCAUUCUAUGGGGCUGGGCUGGGCUCUGUGGGGCAGAGCUGGGUUCUAUGGGGCAGAGCUGGGUUCUAUGGGGCAGAAACUGAAGCUGAUGGGACAGAUAAUGAGUUCUAGGAAUCAAAUGAGGAGCUCUGUGGGGCUGGGCUGAACUCUGUGGGGCUGGACUGAGCUCUGUGGGGCAGACCUGAGUUCUAUGGGGCAGGCAAUGCAUUCUAUGGGGCAGAAACUGAAGCCUAUAGAACAGAUAAUGAGUUCUACCAAUCAAACGAGGACCUCCGUGGGGCAGGGGCUGCAUUCUAUGGGGCAGAGCUGCAUUCUAUGGGGCAGAGGCGGGUUCUAUGGGGCAGCCCCCCCCCAGACGUACCACUCCUCGUCCUUGUGUGCCAGGAAGAAGUCUUGCAUCUGCUGCCUCCUGAAGUCCAGCUUGUAGUCGUUGUAGCGCUUCACCGCCUCCGUCUCGUCCACGGCGUCGUCCAGCGACAGCAGGAACUCCUUGAAGCUCUUCAUCACGGGGGGGGCCAUCCCCAAAUCCACCUCCGCGAUGUUCCCCAGUCUGCUUGGGGGGGAGUGGGGGGCGUCAGGACCCUCGGGGGGGGGGAAUGGGGGGGUUUGGGGUCCCUAUGGGGCAGUAUGAGGUUCUAUGGGGCAGUCUGGGGUCCCUAUGGAGCAGUUUGGGGGGGGUUAUGGGGCAGUAUGGGGGGGUUUGAGAUCUCUAUAGGGCACUUUGGGGUCCCUAUGGGGCAGUAUGAGGUUCUAUGGGGCAGUAUGGGGGACUUUGAGCUCUCUAUGGGGCAGUCUGGGGUCCCUAUGGGGCAGUUUGGGGGGUUAUGGGGCAGUAUGGAGGGCUUUGAGAUCUCUAUGGGGCAG
Molecule: long non-coding RNA, 1012 nt
Filed under: Phasianus colchicus (ring-necked pheasant)
Lineage: Eukaryota; Metazoa; Chordata; Aves; Galliformes; Phasianidae
Description: lncRNA (ENSPCLG00000018998.1)
Source: RNAcentral